This 1380-nucleotide ribosomal RNA is filed under the name marine metagenome. RNAcentral describes it as "bacterial LSU rRNA". It matches the Rfam family "Bacterial large subunit ribosomal RNA", at positions 1565 to 2925 of the family's 2925-position model. The record is from RNAcentral.
CGAGACGAGCUCCCAAGGGAGUGAAGUUGUUGAUGCCCUGCUUCCAGGAAAAGCUUCUAAACUUAUGAUUAUAUGAACCGUACCCCAAACCGACACAGGUGGUCAGGUAGAGAAUACUAAGGCGCUUGAGAGAACUCGGGUGAAGGAACUCGGCAAAAUUGUACCGUAACUUCGGGAGAAGGUACGCCUCUGUUUGUGAACACUUCGCGUGGUAAGCAAAUGGAGGCCGCAGUGACCAGGUGGCUGGGACUGUUUAUUAAAAACACAGCACUCUGCAAACUCGUAAGAGGACGUAUAGGGUGUGACACCUGCCCGGUGCCGGAAGGUUAAUUGAUGGGGUUAGUUUUCGGACGAAGCUCUUGAUCGAAGCCCCGGUAAACGGCGGCCGUAACUAUAACGGUCCUAAGGUAGCGAAAUUCCUUGUCGGGUAAGUUCCGACCUGCACGAAUGGUGUAACCAUGGCCACGCUGUCUCCACCCGAGACUCAGUGAAAUUGAAAUCGCAGUGAAGAUGCUGUGUACCCGCACCUAGACGGAAAGACCCCGUGAACCUUUACUACAGCUUGGCACUGAACAUUGAACCUACAUGUGUAGGAUAGGUGGGAGGCUUUGAAGCACAGUCGCUAGAUUGUGUGGAGCCGUCCUUGAAAUACCACCCUUGUAUGUUUGAUGUUCUAACAUUGUUCCCUUAUCGGGAAUGUGGACAGUGUCUGGUGGGUAGUUUGACUGGGGCGGUCUCCUCCCAAAUAGUAACGGAGGAGCACGAAGGUUAGCUAAUCACGGUCGGACAUCGUGAGGUUAGUGCAAUGGCAUAAGCUAGCUUAACUGCGAGACAGACACGUCGAGCAGGUACGAAAGUAGGUCAUAGUGAUCCGGUGGUUCUGUAUGGAAGGGCCAUCGCUCAACGGAUAAAAGGUACUCCGGGGAUAACAGGCUGAUACCGCCCAAGAGUUCAUAUCGACGGCGGUGUUUGGCACCUCGAUGUCGGCUCAUCACAUCCUGGGGCUGAAGUCGGUCCCAAGGGUAUGGCUGUUCGCCAUUUAAAGUGGUACGCGAGCUGGGUUUAGAACGUCGUGAGACAGUUCGGUCCCUAUCUGGUGUGGGCGUUGGAUGAUUGAUGGGAGCUGCUCCUAGUACGAGAGGACCGGAGUGGACGAACCGCUGGUGUUCGGGUUGUCAUGCCAAUGGCAUUGCCCGGUAGCUAUGUUCGGAACGGAUAACCGCUGAAAGCAUCUAAGCGGGAAGCCGGCCCAAAGAUGAGUCAUCCCUGACCUUUAAGGUCUGGAAGGGUUGUUAUAGACGAUGACGUUGAUAGGCAGGGUGUGGAAGCGUUGUAAGGCGUUAAGCUAACCUGUACUAAUUGCCCGAGAGGCUUAACCAU